RNAcentral lists this long non-coding RNA (1387 nucleotides) under Equus asinus (donkey). RNAcentral describes it as "lncRNA (ENSEASG00005034817.1)". Lineage: Eukaryota; Metazoa; Chordata; Mammalia; Perissodactyla; Equidae. The record is from RNAcentral.
ACUGCACCUGGCUGUUGCGUCAGCGGACUCCAGUUCUAAUCCAAAGCCCGGAGGCGCUUAGAAAACCUGAGCGCCAGGUAACAGGAACCUGUAAAUAAGAAACUGACAUUCUCCAAAGGGGAGGGAGCAAGGACUUAACGGGAAAUGUAGUUUUUAUUUUGGUAUUGAACUUCGGGGCCCCUUUUGCGCGUGCGUACUUCAGCUCCGUAGGUGCAAGUUGUCUUUCCCCAGGCUACAGCCUCGCUUGGGAGGAGGCUCCGGGGCGGUGGAGUCUCUGCGAUCAUCCGGGGCCAGUGCAGCCCAACAAGGGAGCGGACUCAAAGAAGUAAUUGUGAAAUAUGUGUGGACUGAAUCCUUACUUGGUCCUUGUAUUUUGGAGAUCCUUGAUUCGUCUGAGCCCUUGAGUCAGGCAGCACACUUGAGGUUUCUGGACGGGACCUGCCCUUUGCAGCCUUUGUCUUUGGAGGCCUUCAUUUGAGUUUAUAGAUGGCCCAGCCCUUGGUUCUUGGAGAAGAGCCUCCCUGUCAUUUUGAGACAACACUUUACUGGGAUUAUUAGGAGAAUUAGACCCAGGAGGAUGAUUAAGCUUCCCUGCAGGAUUUUCCCUCAUCCAGAAACCCCAGGUGCCUGGCUUAAACCAACUGAAGAUGUCAAAGGGGCAUGUUUGCCUUUGCCGGGUAUGGGGACACGGACAGCAGAAUGAAACCAGGUGUUUGUGUUCCUGGGAGGGUGCCAUGAGCCAUUUUGAGACAAGAAGGGACAGCUCUUCCCUACAGAAGAAUUCCAAUGAAUAAAUAUGGAAGGAAUGAAGAAAAUAGAAAUAUUACCACUAGAACACCAUCGGAAUCAUUGUUGCAGGAAAGAUCCUUUAAUGGAGGCUCAGAUUAGGUUUGAGGAGAACAGGAUAUAUGCAUAGACUCAAAGUAUCUUCUCCCCAAAAUAUUUAAUUACAGAUGGAAAGAUAGUAAGUUCACAGAAGAGAAAUCCUGCAGACACCACCUUAACCAAGUGAUCAACAUUAACGUCUGUGGUCGUAAGACAUUGUGAUACAUACUGAUACAAAAUUGGUAUUCUUGCCAGAAAUGCCUCAUCUCAACCUAAUCGUGAGAAAGCAUCAGAUAAAUCUAAGAGACUUUCUACAAAAUAACUGACCAGUGCUGUUUGGAAGUGUCAAGGUCAUGGAAGACAAGAAAAGACAGGAACUGUCACAGUUUGGAGUGUGGAAUCCUGGAUUCGAUCUUGGGACAGAAAAAGGAUAUUAAUGAAAAAAUUGGUAACAUCUGAAUAAAGGCUAUAGUUUGGUUAAUAGCAUACCAUUGUUAAUUUCUUAAUUUUGAUAUUUACACUUUGUUAAUUAAGAUCUUAACAUUAGGAGAAGCUGGGUGAA